This 68-nucleotide transfer RNA is filed under the name Marmota monax (woodchuck). Its description in RNAcentral is "tRNA.Ala". The record is from RNAcentral. Lineage: Eukaryota; Metazoa; Chordata; Mammalia; Rodentia; Sciuridae.
GUUGUGGCUCAGUGGUACAGUGCUCGCCUAGCACAUGUGAGGCUGUAGGUUCGAUCCUCAGCACAACA